UUCAUGUUAACUCUUCACAGUUCACACACACAAUGUUAUCCAAGCGUAGACCGUUAUCAGAAUUGAGAAAACCCUUAAAAAUGGCGUAGCCAAAAAAAAAAAAAAAACUCUUCUCCAUCUCUCCGCCGGUAAAAUCCAUUUUCCACGAUGAAUUGCAUAUCCUCCUCCAUUGAAUUCCCCCCUCUCCGAUCGCAUCUCAAGCCAAAUCGACGGCAACCGCAACAGAAUUCACCACCGAAGAAGAAUCUCCACAUCUUCCGCCACAUUUACAUUUCUCCGCAAACCUACCGAUUUGAUUCCCUAAAAGUCAAUGCAAUUCCGUCUUCUCUAAUUUUGGGAAACAGCACUAUUCCUCCGUCUCAAUCCGGCGACGUUUCCGUCCUCCUCCAGACAGGCGGCGUACUUCUGAUUGCGUAUUUGAUAGCUAAUUUCAUUCUGCCGGAGUUUAUUAUGAAAUCGUACCGGUCCGAUGAGAGCGACGGAAAAGCUGCGGCGGAAGAUGAAGAAUCAAGCGAAGGGAGGAAGAAACAGGGCUUUAGCGGCAGAAGGAGAUAACGAAACUUGAAGGUGCCCAAAGAGGAAAGGCAUGGAUGGAAAUUGCAAGUAACGUGUGGGCCACGUUGAAUGUCGCCAUAGGUCAUUGCCAGAACGUGGAAGACAUUACCAUUGGAGCAAGAGCUUUCACGUCGCUGCUGCUAAUUUGUUGAAGAAGAACUCUGUAAGAGGCGGUUGGAGUUCGUGGACGUUGAGCUCAAGUUGUCACCGAAGGAAAGCGCUAGUCGUUCAAGCUGCCAGAAGAAGAAGAAGCAACAGAAGGAGCAGCGUGGCUGCUGUCUUUCAUGAGAAAGAAAGAGGGAAAGGGUCUGCCUUGGGAUUGUUUGUAGGGAAGAUGAUAUGGAUGACUUAUUUUGGAGGUCCAAAAUGAAAAAUACACAACUUUUUAAAAAUAUUGGUAUUUGACCUUCUUCUGAUUGACGUCAUGCUGAAGUUAUGGAUUUGUCCUUCCUUCAAAUUCUUUAACUGUUCGCGUGGCUUCUUCCUCUCACUUCCUCACUUCUUCAUCUUCCUCUCUUUAAUGAUUCAUUAUCGACAGUGACAUAAACCACCACCAUUUCUCUCUAACACUUGUCGUCGACCACCACAAACCAUCAAGCGACCAUCCGUUCGCCAGAAUCGCAUUCAUCUGGUACUUGAUCAUAGG
RNA transcript from Benincasa hispida (wax gourd), 1201 nucleotides. RefSeq lists it as uncharacterized. The record is from RefSeq and is a predicted model, not a curated record. NCBI's taxonomy places the organism in Eukaryota, Viridiplantae, Streptophyta, Magnoliopsida, Cucurbitales, Cucurbitaceae.